Molecule: ribosomal RNA, 424 nt
Filed under: uncultured cyanobacterium
Lineage: Bacteria; Bacillati; Cyanobacteriota
Description: bacterial SSU rRNA
Rfam family: Bacterial small subunit ribosomal RNA
Source: RNAcentral
UGGGGAAUCUUCCGCAAUGGGCGAAAGCCUGACGGAGCAACGCCGCGUGAGGGUCGAAGGCCUCUGGGCUGUAAACCUCUUUUCUCAAGGAAGAAGAUAUGACGGUACUUGAGGAAUAAGCCACGGCUAAUUCCGUGCCAGCAGCCGCGGUAAUACGGGAGUGGCAAGCGUUAUCCGGAAUUAUUGGGCGUAAAGCGUCCGCAGGCGGCUUUUCAAGUCUGCUGUUAAAGCGUGGAGCUUAACUCCAUCAUGGCAGUGGAAACUGAGAGGCUUGAGUAUGGUAGGGGCAGAGGGAAUUCCCGGUGUAGCGGUGAAAUGCGUAGAUAUCGGGAAGAACACCAGUGGCGAAGGCGCUCUGCUGGGCCAUUACUGACGCUCAUGGACGAAAGCCAGGGGAGCGAAAGGGAUUAGAUACCCCUGUAGU